CAGUCCUCCACACAUACUGGGGGGAUGACUGUAAUAAAACAGUCUUACAAGGGCCUGUUUCUCUACUGGCCGAAUCCAUCAGCCUUUGCUUGACAUUUCCCAUUCGGGAUUUUGGUACUUACCAUUCCCUCUUCCUGCGUUGCCAUUCCCCUGAGCUUUUGCAAGGCCAACAAUAACUGAUUGUUCUCUCUUCCUUUAGGUCUGAGCUUAAAAGUGUUCUCUCUAUCUAAAGCAUCUCUACCCCCACACCCUUGCUACUCUUGGUUAAUCUCUAUCACAGCACCCAGUUUAG
This 292-nucleotide long non-coding RNA is filed under the name Homo sapiens (human). RNAcentral's name for it is "LHRI_LNC1002.1". Lineage: Eukaryota; Metazoa; Chordata; Mammalia; Primates; Hominidae. The record is from RNAcentral.